AGGAGACGCUGGCGGCGUGGAUUAGGCAUGCAAGUCGAACGGUAGGAUACCUUCGGGUAUCUGAGAGUGGCGAACGGGUGAGUAACACGUAGGUGAUCUACCCUCAAGAUUGGGACAACCCAGGGAAACUUGGGCUAAUACCGGAUGAAAGCAGCAGUGAUGUUGUUUGAAAGGUGGCGUAAGCUGCCGUUUGGGGAUGAGCCUGCGUCCUAUUAGUUAGUUGGUGAGGUAACGGCUCACCUAGGCAAUGAUAGGUAGGCGGCCUUAACGGGUGGUCGCCCACACUGGGAUUGAGAUACGGCCCAGACUCCUACGGGAGGCAGCAGUCGAGAAUAGUCUACAAUGGUCGGAAGACUGAUAGUGCGACGCCGCGUGAACGAUGAAUCCCUUCGGGGUGUAAAGUUCUUUUAUAUGUGAGCAGUGCUUCUUAUAUUAACAGUAUGGGGAGAGAGAUAUUAGCAUAUGAAUAAGCAACGGCUAACUCCGUG
This 488-nucleotide ribosomal RNA is filed under the name uncultured bacterium. RNAcentral's name for it is "bacterial SSU rRNA". It matches the Rfam family "Bacterial small subunit ribosomal RNA", at positions 33 to 507 of the family's 1533-position model. The record is from RNAcentral.